GCUUAACACAUGCAAGUCGAGGGGCAGCAUUUUAUUUUGCUUGCAAACUAAAGAUGGCGACCGGCGCACGGGUGAGUAACACGUAUCCAACCUGCCGAUAACUCGGGGAUAGCCUUUCGAAAGAAAGAUUAAUAUCCGAUAGUAUAUUAAAACCGCGUGGUUUUACUAUUAAAGAAUUUCGGUUAUCGAUGGGGAUGCGUUCCAUUAGUUUGUUGGCGGGGUAACGGCCCACCAAGACUACGAUGGAUAGGGGUUCUGAGAGGAAGGUCCCCCACAUUGGAACUGAGACACGGUCCAAACUCCUACGGGAGGCAGCAGUGAGGAAUAUUGGUCAAUGGACGAGAGUCUGAACCAGCCAAGUAGCGUGAAGGAUGACUGCCCUAUGGGUUGUAAACUUCUUUUAUAUGGGAAUAAAGUAUUCCACGUGUGGAAUUUUGUAUGUACCAUAUGAAUAAGGAUCGGCUAACUCCGUGCCAGCGGCCGCGGUAAUACGGAGGAUCCGAGCGUUAUCCGGAUUUAUUGGGUUUAAAGGGAGCGUAGGUGGAUUGUUAAGUCAGUUGUGAAAGUUUGCGGCUCAACCGUAAAAUUGCAGUUGAAACUGGCAGUCUUGAGUACAGUAGAGGUGGGCGGAAUUCGUGGUGUAGCGGUGAAAUGCUUAGAUAUCACGAAGAACUCCGAUUGCGAAGGCAGCUCACUAGACUGCAACUGACACUGAUGCUCGAAAGUGUGGGUAUCAAACAGGAUUAGAUACCCUGGUAGUCCACACAGUAAACGAUGAAUACUCGCUGUUUGCGAUAUACAGUAAGCGGCCAAGCGAAAGCAUUAAGUAUUCCACCUGGGGAGUACGCCGGCAACGGUGAAACUCAAAGGAAUUGACGGGGGCCCGCACAAGCGGAGGAACAUGUGGUUUAAUUCGAUGAUACGCGAGGAACCUUACCCGGGCUUAAAUUGCAUUUGAAUAAUCUGGAAACAGGUUAGCCGCAAGGCAAAUGUGAAGGUGCUGCAUGGUUGUCGUCAGCUCGUGCCGUGAGGUGUCGGCUUAAGUGCCAUAACGAGCGCAACCCUUAUCUUUAGUUACUAACAGAUGAUGCUGAGGACUCUAGAGAGACUGCCGUCGUAAGAUGUGAGGAAGGUGGGGAUGACGUCAAAUCAGCACGGCCCUUACGUCCGGGGCUACACACGUGUUACAAUGGGGGGUACAGAAGGCAGCUACCUGGCGACAGGAUGCUAAUCCCAAAAACCUCUCUCAGUUCGGAUCGAAGUCUGCAACCCGACUUCGUGAAGCUGGAUUCGCUAGUAAUCGCGCAUCAGCCAUGGCGCGGUGAAUACGUUCCCGGGCCUUGUACACACCGCCCGUCAAGCCAUGAAAGCCGGGGGUACCUGAAGUACGUAACCGCAAGGAGCGUCCUAGGGUAAAACUGGUAAUUGGG
This 1430-nucleotide ribosomal RNA is filed under the name uncultured organism. RNAcentral's name for it is "16S ribosomal RNA". It matches the Rfam family "Bacterial small subunit ribosomal RNA". The record is from RNAcentral.